GUAAAAACCCGUGCAUAUAGCUUACCGAAAACUGUUGUUGUUAUUAAAAUAUAAAUAUACUAUGGACCUGAAUGCGUUUUUAUCCGAUCAUCAGAGUCAGUACACACUCUCCAACGUGCCUUCGGGCUAUGCUUUGUGGGCUUGAUUCUUCUUGGUAUCUACUACCUGUACAAAAUGUGCGUAGACCGGUCUAAAGCUGAAUCUCAAAAUGCGAACAAGUCUGUGACCUCAGACCGAAUGUUCAUGAGACCUGUCUAUGCGCAUGAAAUAGAACCAGGCAUAGUUGUGCUGCAAAGCGAAAACGGUGAUUACUUCAAGAUUUUGAAGGAAUACGAUAUGAAACAAGGAAAUCAGUAUGGAUCACUCUCUCGUUCAGCAACGGAAAUGACAUCACAUGAUGUUAACAUAGGAACAUUCGGCGAAAAUGGUAGUUUCCAAGCGUUUGAGCCAUCAAGAUCACGUGAUCUUGCUCAAGCAAGCGCCCCUCCGAGAUCGCGCAUCAUGGCGGACGAGAGUGAGGAAUUGUUGUUCGAAAGGAACCGUGAUGCUGGUUUUCGACCGGUGCAGUUCAGUUACGGAAGUGAUGGAAUGCCACCUCCUUAUGGUGCGAACUAAAUCGGAACUAACGAAUAAAAAUGAAAGGAAGGAGUCGUGUGUAAUACUGGACGUUUUAAUUUGAUUUUACUGAAAAAUCUUAUUUAAACCACAAUAUUAUGAUCGUGUUGAAUAUUGUAUUCCUAUUUGUCAUAAAAGUUGACAUAGGAGCCGUAUCAUGGACCUUUAUCAUAUUUGGUCAGCUUAGCUCCAGACCAGCCUCCUCACUCGCGCGGUAUCAAUCUCCAGUCAGAGUUGUCUUUCCUUGCUCUCCAUACAAUCUCUGCAAUUACAAGAAAAUCCUACCAGAUUUGGUAGGGUUGUUUUGGGUUUAAGUAUUAUAUUAUAAAAUGAAGUAUCGUUUUCUUUUCUGUUUUGAAAAAUAGUGUAUAAGUUAAGGUUUAUUAUAAAAAUUAAAUUACCUUAAUUAUAAAAAGUUAAAAUAACAAAGGUAAAAUUAUUUUACUACGUGACUAGGUUAUCAUCACGUGGUUGGUUGUUAAGGCAGGGAUUUGAUCCAGCUAUGCGGUUGGCUCGGUAUAUUAAUGAGCUAAAGAGACCACGAAACCUUGCAUGGCUUAAUAGCGAGCAGUGUAGCUCCUUAACAAACUUCGAGCAUGUGCUGACUGGCCAGGAGCUACGCUGGCCGCAAAUGGCAUAUGACACAUUUUAGCAUGUUGCGGCUCAUAUAUUUACUUUUAAAACCAAUAUGUGUACAGUAUUGAACACUUUCAGAAUAUGACGCUUUAUAUGUGAUAAUUUUGAAUACUUGGGUUUUUAUUAAAACAUUUUCACGAAUGUUUGCCGUCGAAAGUCGACAAAUGUGAUUCCGGAAUGGUAGUAUUGAAAUGCUUAGAUUAAAGACACAUACAGGGAUUAAAUAAAAUAUAACAAUGACAUCGAACUAUAAACAUGAGUACACCUACGAACAAAUUAGCGCAUAUUAUUAAAUAUUGAUUACUUUCGUUAGUUGAUAUGGUUGAAAGAGAAUAUAAUGAGUACAGCAGAUGUGGUAAAAUACAAACAAUGGAUGUUUUGCAAAUCACAGUAGAGGGUCUAUACGUUUCUCGAAAAGCUUUCCCAUUCAUUAAAUGUUAUCCUUAGAAGAUAUUAAGGUAAAUUUUAUUGAUUAAGCGAACGUAUUCGAAUGUCAGAUUAUUUUAUUUUAAACUACCGGUGCACUUCUUUUGAUUGAUAAAUACACACUGUAUAUACAUAUACAUACCAAUUGUUAUAUAAUCAGAAGAUUCAUAUACCUAAAUAAUUAUUCUAACUUCAUAUUUUAGAAUAUAUAAAGCUUAUUUAGCCAAAGGAAUGACCUGAUGACAUUUAUUAUACAACAUGAACUUUUUUUUAUAUUUGUAACGUUUUGUUUUUAUGGUUCAAUUGAUCGAUGAAACAUUGAUGAAUGCUUUUGACUGGCUUCGAACACAUUGUUGUUGAAUACACAAGUUGUAAUAAAGCCAAUGCAUAAA
Molecule: long non-coding RNA, 2069 nt
Organism: Dreissena polymorpha
Lineage: Eukaryota; Metazoa; Mollusca; Bivalvia; Myida; Dreissenidae
Exons: 2
Source: RefSeq, a predicted model, not a curated record